CCGGAAGGUGUGCUUGGAAUCACAAUAUAGCUUAACUUCUAAAGCACCCCGCUUACACCGGGUAAAUCUCUGUGAAACUCAGAUUACUGUGAGCCAACUCUCUAGCCCUAAUCCACUCCAUAUAAACCCUUUUAUGACAUUUACCAACUAAAACAUUUUAACAGCUUAGUAAAGGAGAUCAAAAAACUUUUAGGAGCUACAAAAAGAGUACCGCAAGGGAAAGAUGAAAUAAAAAUGAAAUAAAUUUUAAGCAAAAAAUAGUAAAGGAAAGCCCUUGUACCUUUUGCAUCAUGGUUUAGCUAGUCAAAUCAAGCAAAAAGACCUUCAGUUCGACCCCCCGAAACUAAACGAGCUACUUUGAGGCAGCUUACUGAGCCAACCCGUCUCUGUUGCAAAAGAGUGGGAAGACCUUCAAGUAGAGGUGACAGACCUACCGAGUUUAGUGAUAGCUGGUUGCUUAAGAAAAGGACCUAAGUCCACAUUAAAUUGACCUUUAUAUUUAAAUAUUUUAUUUUCAAUUUAAGCUCAUUCAAGUGAGGUACAGCCUGCUUGAAAAAGGAUACAACCUCCCCUUAUGGGUAAUAAAUGCAACUUAUGCAACUAAGUGGGCCUAAAAGCAGCCACCUUAAUUAAUAGCGUCACAGCUUAAUUGUAAACAAGCAUAAUCUCAUUAUUUUCAUAAAACCCUAUAUUACUAUUAAGCAAUUCCAUGAACCCAUGGAAAAUUUUAUGCUAAAACUAGUAACAAGAAGCCAUACUUCUCUUGAAUGCAAACUUAUAUCAGACUGGAUCAACCACUGAUAAAUAACACCCAUCACCCCAAAGUAGCAACUAAACAAGAAAACCCUACUUCACUCAGUGUUAACCUAACUCAAGAGCAUUACAAGAAAGAUUUAAAGAAAAAGAAGGAACUCGGCAAAUAUUGACCCCGCCUGUUUACCAAAAACAUCGCCUCUUGCCUCACAUAAGAGGUCCAGCCUGCCCAGUGACUUUGUUCAACGGCCGCGGUAUCCUAACCGUGCGAAGGUAGCGUAAUCACUUGUUCUUUAAAUGAGGACUAGUAUGAAAGGCACCACGAGAGUCAUACUGUCUCCUUUUUCUAAUCAGUGAAACUAAUCUCCCCGUGAAGAAGCGAGGAUAAAAAUAUAAGACGAGAAGACCCUAUGGAGCUUAAAACAAUUAACACCUGCCUCCUUAAUACUUAAUUUCAGAAAAAUUUUCUACCUUGGCAGUAUGAUUAUUAGUUUUCGGUUGGGGUGACCACGGAACAAAAAACAACUUCCGCAAUGAAAGACACUCCCCACUUAGUCAAGGACUACAGCCCUACACAUCAACAAAUUGACAUUAAUUGACCCAACAUGUUGAUCAAUGAACCAAGUUACCCUAGGGAUAACAGCGCAAUCCACUUCAAGAGCCCCUAUCGACAAGUGGGUUUACGACCUCGAUGUUGGAUCAGGGUAUCCUAGUGGUGUAGCCGCUACUAAAGGUUCGUUUGUUCAACGAUUAAAACCCU
This 1513-nucleotide ribosomal RNA is filed under the name Adenomera thomei. Its description in RNAcentral is "partial 16S ribosomal RNA". It matches the Rfam family "Bacterial large subunit ribosomal RNA", at positions 342 to 2597 of the family's 2925-position model. The record is from RNAcentral. Lineage: Eukaryota; Metazoa; Chordata; Amphibia; Anura; Leptodactylidae.